Molecule: ribosomal RNA, 427 nt
Filed under: uncultured bacterium
Lineage: Bacteria
Description: partial 16S ribosomal RNA
Rfam family: Bacterial small subunit ribosomal RNA
Source: RNAcentral
UGGGGAAUAUUGGACAAUGGGCGAAAGCCUGAUCCAGCCAUGCCGCGUGUGUGAAGAAGGUCUUCGGAUUGUAAAGCACUUUAAGUUGGGAGGAAGGGCAUUAACCUAAUACGUUAGUGUUUUGACGUUACCGACAGAAUAAGCACCGGCUAACUCUGUGCCAGCAGCCGCGGUAAUACAGAGGGUGCAAGCGUUAAUCGGAAUUACUGGGCGUAAAGCGCGCGUAGGUGGUUUGUUAAGUUGGAUGUGAAAUCCCCGGGCUCAACCUGGGAACUGCAUUCGAAACUGACUGACUAGAGUAUGGUAGAGGGUGGUGGAAUUUCCUGUGUAGCGGUGAAAUGCGUAGAUAUAGGAAGGAACACCAGUGGCGAAGGCGACCACCUGGACUAAUACUGACACUGAGGUGCGAAAGCGUGGGGAGCAAACA